AGAAAGAAGCAUGAGUGGUUUAGCAUGCGGUUGGCUUGAAACCAAUGUAUGAGGGUUCGAUUCCUUCCUUUCUUG
Molecule: transfer RNA, 75 nt
Filed under: Calyptorhynchus lathami
Lineage: Eukaryota; Metazoa; Chordata; Aves; Psittaciformes; Cacatuidae
Description: tRNA-Ser
Rfam family: tRNA
About the family: Transfer RNA (tRNA) molecules are approximately 80 nucleotides in length. Their secondary structure includes four short double-helical elements and three loops (D, anti-codon, and T loops).
Source: RNAcentral